Molecule: ribosomal RNA, 615 nt
Filed under: uncultured bacterium
Lineage: Bacteria
Description: bacterial SSU rRNA
Rfam family: Bacterial small subunit ribosomal RNA (bases 1-521)
Source: RNAcentral
CCUACGGGAGGCAGCAGUGGGGAAUAUUGCACAAUGGGCGAAAGCCUGAUGCAGCGACGCCGCGUGAGGGAUGACGGCCUUCGGGUUGUAAACCUCUUUCAGCAGGGAAGAAGCGAAAGUGACGGUACCUGCAGAAGAAGCGCCGGCUAACUACGUGCCAGCAGCCGCGGUAAUACGUAGGGCGCAAGCGUUGUCCGGAAUUAUUGGGCGUAAAGAGCUCGUAGGCGGCUUGUCACGUCGGGUGUGAAAGCCCGGGGCUUAACCCCGGGUCUGCAUUCGAUACGGGCUAGCUAGAGUGUGGUAGGGGAGAUCGGAAUUCCUGGUGUAGCGGUGAAAUGCGCAGAUAUCAGGAGGAACACCGGUGGCGAAGGCGGAUCUCUGGGCCAUUACUGACGCUGAGGAGCGAAAGCGUGGGGAGCGAACAGGAUUAGAUACCCUGGUAGUCCACGCCGUAAACGGUGGGAACUAGGUGUUGGCGACAUUCCACGUCGUCGGUGCCGCNGCACGCAUACGUACCCGUCCGUCGGGUAGGUACGGCCGCGACGACGUAAACGUUAAACGGUAAAGUUAGUAACGGUCGUGAGACGUGCCGACGGACGACGACGAGGGAGGAGG